AACGAACGCUGGCGGCAUGCCUAACACAUGCAAGUCGAACGAGACCUUCGGGUCUAGUGGCGCACGGGUGCGUAACGCGUGGGAACCUGCCCUUAGGUUCGGAAUAACUCCCCGUAAGGGGUGCUAAUACCGGAUAAUGUCUUCGGACCAAAGAUUUAUCGCCUUUGGAUGGGCCCGCGUUGGAUUAGCUAGUUGGUAGGGUAAAAGCCUACCAAGGCGACGAUCCAUAGCUGGUCUGAGAGGAUGAUCAGCCACACUGGGACUGAGACACGGCCCAGACUCCUACGGGAGGCAGCAGUGGGGAAUAUUGGACGAUGGGCGAAAGCCUGAUCCAGCAAUGCCGCGUGAGUGACGAAGGCCUUAGGGUUGUAAAGCUCUUUUACCCGGGAUGAUAAUGACAGUACCGGGAGAAUAAGCACCGGCUAACUACGUG
RNAcentral lists this ribosomal RNA (433 nucleotides) under uncultured bacterium. RNAcentral describes it as "partial 16S ribosomal RNA". It matches the Rfam family "Bacterial small subunit ribosomal RNA", at positions 29 to 507 of the family's 1533-position model. The record is from RNAcentral.